RNAcentral lists this ribosomal RNA (463 nucleotides) under uncultured bacterium. RNAcentral's name for it is "partial 16S ribosomal RNA". It matches the Rfam family "Bacterial small subunit ribosomal RNA", at positions 28 to 506 of the family's 1533-position model. The record is from RNAcentral.
GACGAACGCUGGCGGCGUGCUUAACACAUGCAAGUCGAACGGUAAGGCCCCAGCUUGCUGGGGUACACGAGUGGCGAACGGGUGAGUAACACGUGGGUGACCUGCCCCGCACUUCGGGAUAAGCCUGGGAAACUGGGUCUAAUACCGGAUAGGACCGCACCGUGAGGGUGUGGUGGAAAGUUUUUCGGUGUGGGAUGGGCCCGCGGCCUAUCAGCUUGUUGGUGGGGUAAUGGCUUACCAAGGCGGCGACGGGUAGCCGGCCUGAGAGGGUGGACGGCCACAUUGGGACUGAGACACGGCCCAGACUCCUACGGGAGGCAGCAGUGGGGAAUAUUGCACAAUGGGCGGAAGCCUGAUGCAGCGACGCCGCGUGGGGGAUGACGGCCUUCGGGUUGUAAACUCCUUUCACCAUCGACGAAGGUUUUCUGACGGUAGAUGGAGAAGAAGCACCGGCUAACUACGU